AAGUCGUAACAAGGUUUCCGUAGGUGAACCUGCGGAAGGAUCAUUAACACGCAUUUAAAAGCAUCCAAUAUCAACAAAUCACAACCAAACGGUCAACUAUCUCCUCCCUAUUUCGCACACCGGAGACGGUACGAGUAGGCUAACAUGUAAAUAACAACAAAGCUCAAUCAAGCAAUUGCUUGCUUGCGCAUAAAAUGUUAUUUUCAAACACAAGAUAACCCCUUUUAAUUAUAUUAUUCAUUUAAUAUAAACGAACAACUCUUCGAAUUUGCCCUUCCUUUGAUUUCAUUUUCAAUGGAAGAACAAAAACGAACUAAACUAAAAUAUACAUUCGAUAUAUUUUUAUUUUACGAAAUACUAUAUAUUUAUAAGAACAACUCUUAGCAAUGGAUAUCUUGGUUCUC
Molecule: unclassified non-coding RNA, 404 nt
Filed under: fungal sp.
Lineage: Eukaryota; Fungi
Description: partial internal transcribed spacer region
Rfam family: Eukaryotic small subunit ribosomal RNA (bases 1-46)
Source: RNAcentral